This 78-nucleotide transfer RNA is filed under the name Candidatus Kuenenia stuttgartensis. RNAcentral's name for it is "Candidatus Kuenenia stuttgartiensis tRNA-Arg". It matches the Rfam family "tRNA". Rfam says of the family: Transfer RNA (tRNA) molecules are approximately 80 nucleotides in length. Their secondary structure includes four short double-helical elements and three loops (D, anti-codon, and T loops). Further hydrogen bonds mediate the characteristic L-shaped molecular structure. tRNAs have two regions of fundamental functional importance: the anti-codon, which is responsible for specific mRNA codon recognition, and the 3' end, to which the tRNAs corresponding amino acid is attached (by aminoacyl-tRNA synthetases). tRNAs cope with the degeneracy of the genetic code in two manners: having more than one tRNA (with a specific anti-codon) for a particular amino acid; and 'wobble' base-pairing, i.e. permitting non-standard base-pairing at the 3rd anti-codon position. Lineage: Bacteria; Pseudomonadati; Planctomycetota; Candidatus Brocadiia; Candidatus Brocadiales; Candidatus Brocadiaceae. The record is from RNAcentral.
GCGCUCGUAGCUCAAUUGGAUAGAGUGGUGGACUUCGAAUCCAAAGGUUGCCAGGUUCAAGUCCUGCCGGGCGCGCCA